AGUACGGCGAGUGAAGCGGCAAAAGCUCAAAUUUGAAAUCGGCCACCAGGUCGAGUUGUAAUUUGUAGAUUGUAUCUUGAGAGCGGAUUAAAGUCUGUUGGAACACAGCGCCUUAGAGGGUGACAGCCCCGUAAAAUCUAUUCUCAUUGUAAGAUACUUUCGAAGAGUCGAGUUGUUUGGGAAUGCAGCUCUAAGUGGGAGGUAAAUUCCUUCUAAAGCUAAAU
This 224-nucleotide ribosomal RNA is filed under the name uncultured Galactomyces. Its description in RNAcentral is "partial 26S ribosomal RNA". It matches the Rfam family "Eukaryotic large subunit ribosomal RNA", at positions 82 to 321 of the family's 3401-position model. The record is from RNAcentral. Lineage: Eukaryota; Fungi; Ascomycota; Dipodascomycetes; Dipodascales; Dipodascaceae.